ACAAAUCCAGCUAGAGGCACAGAAAACAGACAUGUGGACACGCAGGUGCUGCAACAGUAAUGUUUAAAUGCACACAGAACACAGAGGCUGUAUUCUCCGCUGAAAAACAUCCACCAGGAACUACUGCAGCAAGUUGCACAAGAUCACCUGAAAGAGGUCUCUCAGGAAGCAGUGGAGGCUUGUAAACUAGAGUGCCAACAGAGAGGACCUUAUCCUUGCGAUGAAACAGUUUUCAGCUUGUGUUGCCUUAUAAUGGCAGAGAACUUCUUACUCUCACCCACCACGGCAGAUGAAGCCAUAGAGCUAUAUCUCUUCUUGAGAGCAUACAUUCUUAAAUACUACGCCAGGAAUUCUGACCAGAGGAUUAAGGCAGGGCUACAUUAUGUCAACUGAUGUUGUGAGGAAAAUAUCCAAAACAAAUAAUCACAAUGUUUCAGUGCAGAGUAAAAAUAAUGUGUGGUUUCCACAAAAUAUUUAACCUACCCUGUACAUUUGGUCACUUUGUCACAAACCCCCGGUCGUGACCCUGGCCUGCCUGUUGCCCUGAGGCUGCUGGUGGGCGUGGUAAUCUGAGCUCCAGGCUUUCCCACCUGAAGCACAUCCGCAAUCAGCACACCAGGGUCUCUGCCUGCAAUCAACACACCUUUAAGAGAUCUGCCAACCUUCCAGUCCCCGCCGGAUUGUUGUACUUAACCGUAUAGACACGCCAGCCAGUUUGUCUGUCUUAGUUUCAGUUUCAGUUUUUUGUCUGAACCUUCGUACCAGUGUUUAACUGCUCUCUCUUUGUCUCAUCCUCAGGAAACCUGCACAUGCACCACGCGGAUUCCCUCCUGUUCCCCGGAAUCAUCUAAGCUCUGGGACCAGAACCGCAGACCCUCAGAACGACCACCUCACCCCAACCUCUCCCAGGACACCCCUUGUGCUUAAUAAACCACUUCUGUGCAUUU
This is a long non-coding RNA of Micropterus salmoides (largemouth bass), 947 nucleotides long. RefSeq lists it as uncharacterized. The transcript has 2 exons. NCBI's taxonomy places the organism in Eukaryota, Metazoa, Chordata, Actinopteri, Centrarchiformes, Centrarchidae. The record is from RefSeq and is a predicted model, not a curated record.